CCUACGGGAGGCAGCAGUGGGGGAUAUUGCACAAUGGGGGGAACCCUGAUGCAGCGACGCCGCGUGGGUGAAGAAGCGCCUAGGCGCGUAAAGUCCUGUCAGCAGGGAAGAUAAUGACGGUAUCUGAAGAAGAAGCACCGGCUAACUCCGUGCCAGCAGCCGCGGUAAUACGGAGGGUGCAAGCGUUACCCGGAUUCACUGGGUGUAAAGGGUGCGCAGGCGGGGAUGUAAGGCAGGAGUGAAAGCCCGGGGCCCAACCACAGGACUGCAUUUGAAACUGCUUGGCUGGAGUGUAGGAGGGGCAGGAGGAAUUCCUGGUGUAGCGGUGAAAUGCGUAGAGAUCAGGAGGAAUACCGGUGGCGAAGGCGGCCUGCUGGACUGUAACUGACGUUGAGGCCCGAAAGCGUGGGGAGCAAACAGGAUUAGAUACCCCAGUAGUC
Molecule: ribosomal RNA, 440 nt
Filed under: uncultured bacterium
Lineage: Bacteria
Description: partial 16S ribosomal RNA
Rfam family: Bacterial small subunit ribosomal RNA
Source: RNAcentral